Molecule: transfer RNA, 69 nt
Filed under: Hyla sanchiangensis (San Chiang treefrog)
Lineage: Eukaryota; Metazoa; Chordata; Amphibia; Anura; Hylidae
Description: tRNA-Gly
Rfam family: tRNA
About the family: Transfer RNA (tRNA) molecules are approximately 80 nucleotides in length. Their secondary structure includes four short double-helical elements and three loops (D, anti-codon, and T loops). Further hydrogen bonds mediate the characteristic L-shaped molecular structure. tRNAs have two regions of fundamental functional importance: the anti-codon, which is responsible for specific mRNA codon recognition, and the 3' end, to which the tRNAs corresponding amino acid is attached (by aminoacyl-tRNA synthetases). tRNAs cope with the degeneracy of the genetic code in two manners: having more than one tRNA (with a specific anti-codon) for a particular amino acid; and 'wobble' base-pairing, i.e. permitting non-standard base-pairing at the 3rd anti-codon position.
Source: RNAcentral
ACUUUCUUAGUAUAUCUAGUACAAGUGACUUCCAAUUAUUUAGCCUCGGUUAAACUCCGAGAGAAAGUA